This 586-nucleotide ribosomal RNA is filed under the name uncultured bacterium. Its description in RNAcentral is "partial 16S ribosomal RNA". It matches the Rfam family "Bacterial small subunit ribosomal RNA", at positions 355 to 1375 of the family's 1533-position model. The record is from RNAcentral.
UGGGGAAUUUUGGACAAUGGGCGAAAGCCUGAUCCAGCAAUGCCGCGUGUGUGAAGAAGGCCUUCGGGUUGUAAAGCACUUUUGUCCGGAAAGAAAUCCUUGGCUCUAAUACAGUCGGGGGAUGACGGUACCGGAAGAAUAAGCACCGGCUAACUACGUGCCAGCAGCCGCGGUAAUACGUAGGGUGCAAGCGUUAAUCGGAAUUACUGGGCGUAAAGCGUGCGCAGGCGGUUUGCUAAGACCGAUGUGAAAUCCCCGGGCUCAACCUGGGAACUGCAUUGGUGACUGGCAGGCUAGAGUAUGGCAGGAGGGGGGUUAGAAUUCCACGUGUAGCAGUGAAAUGCGUAGAGAUGUGGAGGAAUACCGAUGGCGAAGGCAGCCCCCUGGGCCAAUACUGACGCUCAUGCACGAAAGCGUGGGGAGCAAACAGGAUUAGAUACCCUGGUAGUCCACGCCCUAAACGAUGUCAACUAGUUGUUGGGGAUUCAUUCCUUAGUAACGUAGCUAACGCGUGAAGUUGACCGCCUGGGGAGUACGGUCGCAAGAUUAAAACUCAAAGGAAUUGACGGGGUCAUAGCUGUUUCCU